This 73-nucleotide transfer RNA is filed under the name Capra hircus (goat). It matches the Rfam family "tRNA". From Rfam's summary of the family: Transfer RNA (tRNA) molecules are approximately 80 nucleotides in length. Their secondary structure includes four short double-helical elements and three loops (D, anti-codon, and T loops). Further hydrogen bonds mediate the characteristic L-shaped molecular structure. tRNAs have two regions of fundamental functional importance: the anti-codon, which is responsible for specific mRNA codon recognition, and the 3' end, to which the tRNAs corresponding amino acid is attached (by aminoacyl-tRNA synthetases). tRNAs cope with the degeneracy of the genetic code in two manners: having more than one tRNA (with a specific anti-codon) for a particular amino acid; and 'wobble' base-pairing, i.e. permitting non-standard base-pairing at the 3rd anti-codon position. Lineage: Eukaryota; Metazoa; Chordata; Mammalia; Artiodactyla; Bovidae. The record is from Rfam by way of RNAcentral. RNAcentral also lists the same sequence under 1 other name.
UCCCUGGUGGUCCAGUGGCUAAGACUCUGUGCUCCCGUUUCAGGGGGUCUGGGUUCGAUCCCUGGUCAGGGAA